Molecule: ribosomal RNA, 488 nt
Filed under: bacterium enrichment culture clone 2
Lineage: Bacteria
Description: bacterial SSU rRNA
Rfam family: Bacterial small subunit ribosomal RNA
Source: RNAcentral
AGAGUUUGAUCAUGGCUCAGGAUGAACGCUGGCGGCGUGCUUAACACAUGCAAGUCGAACGAGGUCCAACCUUCGGGUGAAGACCGAGUGGCGAACGGGUGAGUAACACGUGGGGAACCUGCCCUUCUCUCUGGGAUAACGUCGGGAAAUCGGCGCUAAUACCGGAUACUCCUUGCGGAUCGCAUGGUCUGCUCGGGAAAGCUCCGGCGGAGAGGGAUGGCCCCGCGGCCCAUUAGCUAGUUGGUGAGGUAACGGCCCACCAAGGCGACGAUGGGUAGCCGAGCUGAGAGGCUGAUCGGCCACACUGGGACUGAGACACGGCCCAGACUCCUACGGGAGGCAGCAGUGGGGAAUCUUGCGCAAUGGGCGAAAGCCUGACGCAGCAACGCCGCGUGCGGGAUGAAGGCUCUCGGGUCGUAAACCGNCUUUCAGCAGGGAUGAAAUUGACAGUACCUGCAGAAGAAGCCCCGGCUAAAUACGUGCCAGCA